AGCGAACAGACGAGGAGCUUGCUCCUCUGACGUUAGCGGCGGACGGGUGAGUAACACGUGGAUAACCUACCUAUAAGACUGGGAUAACUUCGGGAAACCGGAGCUAAUACCGGAUAAUAUAUUGAACCGCAUGGUUCAAUAGUGAAAGACGGUUUUGCUGUCACUUAUAGAUGGAUCCGCGCCGCAUUAGCUAGUUGGUAAGGUAACGGCUUACCAAGGCAACGAUGCGUAGCCGACCUGAGAGGGUGAUCGGCCACACUGGAACUGAGACACGGUCCAGACUCCUACGGGAGGCAGCAGUAGGGAAUCUUCCGCAAUGGGCGAAAGCCUGACGGAGCAACGCCGCGUGAGUGAUGAAGGUCUUCGGAUCGUAAAACUCUGUUAUUAGGGAAGAACAAAUGUGUAAGUAACUAUGCACGUCUUGACGGUACCUAAUCAGAAAGCCACGGCUAACUACGUGCCAGCAGCCGCGGUAAUACGUAGGUGGCAAGCGUUAUCCGGAAUUAUUGGGCGUAAAGCGCGCGUAGGCGGUUUUUUAAGUCUGAUGUGAAAGCCCACGGCUCAACCGUGGAGGGUCAUUGGAAACUGGAAAACUUGAGUGCAGAAGAGGAAAGUGGAAUUCCAUGUGUAGCGGUGAAAUGCGCAGAGAUAUGGAGGAACACCAGUGGCGAAGGCGACUUUCUGGU
Molecule: ribosomal RNA, 686 nt
Filed under: uncultured Staphylococcus sp.
Lineage: Bacteria; Bacillati; Bacillota; Bacilli; Caryophanales; Staphylococcaceae
Description: bacterial SSU rRNA
Rfam family: Bacterial small subunit ribosomal RNA
Source: RNAcentral